AUACGUAGGGGGCGAGCGUUGUCCGGAAUGAUUGGGCGUAAAGGGCGCGUAGGCGGCCUGUUAAGUCUGGAGUGAAAGUCCUGUUUUCAAGAUGGGAAUUGCUUUGGAUACUGAUGGGCUUGAGUGCAGGAGAGGUUAUCGGAAUUCCCGGUGUAGCGGUGAAAUGCGUAGAGAUCGGGAGGAACACCAGUGGCGAAGGCGGGUAACUGGACUGCAACUGACGCUGAGGCGCGAAAGUGUGGGGAGCAAACAGGAUUAGAUACCCUGGUAGUCCACACUGUAAACGAUGAAUGCUAGGUGUAGGAGGUAUCGACCCCUUCUGUGCCGCAGUAAACACAGUAAGCAUUCCGCCUGGGGAGUACGGUCGCAAGAUUAAAACUCAAAUGAAUUGGCGGGG
This 397-nucleotide ribosomal RNA is filed under the name uncultured bacterium. RNAcentral's name for it is "partial 16S ribosomal RNA". It matches the Rfam family "Bacterial small subunit ribosomal RNA", at positions 523 to 918 of the family's 1533-position model. The record is from RNAcentral.